CCUACGGGUGGCAGCAGUGAGGAAUAUUGGUCAAUGGGCGCGAGCCUGAACCAGCCAAGCCGCGUGAAGGAGGACUGCCCUACGGGUUGUAAACCUCUUUUAUAAAGGAAUAAAGUGUGGCACGCGUCCCCUUUUGUAUGUACCUUAUGAAUAAGGAUCGGCUAACUCCGUGCCAGCAGCCGCGGUAAUACGGAGGAUGCGAGCGUUAUCCGGAUUUAUUGGGUUUAAAGGGAGCGGAGGUGGGCUGUUAAGUCAGUCGUGAAAGUGUGGGGCCUAACCCUGAAACUGCCGUUGAAACUGGCAGUCUGGAGUGGGGGUGAGGUAGGCGGAAUGCGUGGUGUAGCGGUGAAAUGCUUAGAUAUCACGAAGAACUCCGAUUGCGAAGGCAGCAUACUGGACUGAAACUGACGUUGAUGCUCGAAAGUGUGGGUAUCAAACAGGAUUAGAUACCCGGGUAGUC
This 460-nucleotide ribosomal RNA is filed under the name uncultured bacterium. RNAcentral's name for it is "partial 16S ribosomal RNA". It matches the Rfam family "Bacterial small subunit ribosomal RNA", at positions 338 to 795 of the family's 1533-position model. The record is from RNAcentral.